ACGGGUGAGUAACGCGUGGGAAUCUACCCAUCUCUACGGAAUAACGCAUGGAAACGUGUGCUAAUACCGUAUACGUCCUUCGGGAGAAAGAUUUAUCGGAGAUGGAUGAGCCCGCGUUGGAUUAGCUAGUUGGUGGGGUAAAGGCCUACCAAGGCGACGAUCCAUAGCUGGUCUGAGAGGAUGAUCAGCCACACUGGGACUGAGACACGGCCCAGACUCCUACGGGAGGCAGCAGUGGGGAAUAUUGGACAAUGGGCGCAAGCCUGAUCCAGCCAUGCCGCGUGAGUGAUGAAGGCCCUAGGGUUGUAAAGCUCUUUCACCGGUGAAGAUAAUGACGGUAACCGGAGAAGAAGCCCCGGCUAACUUCGUGCCAGCAGCCGCGGUAAUACGAAGGGGGCUAGCGUUGUUCGGAUUUACUGGGCGUAAAGCGCACGUAGGCGGACUAUUCAGUCAGGGGUGAAAUCCCGGGGCUCAACCCCGGAACUGCCUUUGAUACUGGUAGUCUUGAGUUCGAGAGAGGUGAGUGGAAUUCCGAGUGUAGAGGUGAAAUUCGUAGA
RNAcentral lists this ribosomal RNA (557 nucleotides) under uncultured bacterium. Its description in RNAcentral is "bacterial SSU rRNA". It matches the Rfam family "Bacterial small subunit ribosomal RNA", at positions 102 to 694 of the family's 1533-position model. The record is from RNAcentral.